GUGGGGAAUAUUGGACAAUGGGGGGAACCCUGAUCCAGCCAUGCCGCGUGUGUGAAGAAGGCCUUUUGGUUGUAAAGCACUUUAAGCGAGGAGGAGGCUACCGAGAUUAAUACUCUUGGAUAGUGGACGUUACUCACAGAAUAAGCACCGGCUAACUCUGUGCCAGCAGCCGCGGUAAUACAGAGGGUGCAAGCGUUAAUCGGAUUUACUGGGCGUAAAGCGCGCGUAGGUGGCCAAUUAAGUCAAAUGUGAAAUCCCCGAGCUUAACUUGGGAAUUGCAUUCGAUACUGGUUGGCUAGAGUAUGGGAGAGGAUGGUAGAAUUCCAGGUGUAGCGGUGAAAUGCGUAGAGAUCUGGAGGAAUACCGAUGGCGAAGGCAGCCAUCUGGCCUAAUACUGACACUGAGGUGCGAAAGCAUGGGGAGUAAACAGGAUUAGAUACCCCGGUAGUCC
RNAcentral lists this ribosomal RNA (451 nucleotides) under uncultured bacterium. RNAcentral's name for it is "partial 16S ribosomal RNA". It matches the Rfam family "Bacterial small subunit ribosomal RNA", at positions 354 to 796 of the family's 1533-position model. The record is from RNAcentral.